CACUUCUCCUCCAGAGUUUGAUCAUGGCUCAGGACGAACGCUGGCGGCGUGCCUAAUACAUGCAAGUCGUACGCUUCUUUUUCCACCGGAGCUUGCUCCACCGGAAAAAGAAGAGUGGCGAACGGGUGAGUAACACGUGGGUAACCUGCCCAUCAGAAGGGGAUAACACUUGGAAACAGGUGCUAAUACCGUAUAACAAUCGAAACCGCAUGGUUUUGAUUUGAAAGGCGCUUUCGGGUGUCGCUGAUGGAUGGACCCGCGGUGCAUUAGCUAGUUGGUGAGGUAACGGCUCACCAAGGCCACGAUGCAUAGCCGACCUGAGAGGGUGAUCGGCCACAUUGGGACUAGACACGGCCCAAACUCCUACGGGAGGCAGCAGUAGGGAAUCUUCGGCAAUGGACGAAAGUCUGACCGAGCAACGCCGCGUGAGUGAAGAAGGUUUUCGGAUCGUAAAACUCUGUUGUUAGAGAAGAACAAGGAUGAGAGUAACUGUUCAUCCCUUGACGGUAUCUAACCAGAAAGCCACGGCUAACUACGUGCCAGCAGCCGCGGUAAUACGUAGGUGGCAAGCGUUGUCCGGAUUUAUUGGGCGUAAAGCGAGCGCAGGCGGUUUCUUAAGUCUGAUGUGAAAGCCCCCGGCUCAACCGGGGAGGGUCAUUGGAAACUGGGAGACUUGAGUGCAGAAGAGGAGAGUGGAAUUCCAUGUGUAGCGGUGAAAUGCGUAGAUAUAUGGAGGAACACCAGUGGCGAAGGCGGCUCUCUGGUCUGUAACUGACGCUGAGGCUCGAAAGCGUGGGGAGCAAACAGGAUUAGAUACCCUGGUAGUCCACGCCGUAAACGAUGAGUGCUAAGUGUUGGAGGGUUUCCGCCCUUCAGUGCUGCAGCUAACGCAUUAAGCACUCCGCCUGGGAGUCGUCGAACUGG
This 924-nucleotide ribosomal RNA is filed under the name Enterococcus faecalis. RNAcentral describes it as "bacterial SSU rRNA". It matches the Rfam family "Bacterial small subunit ribosomal RNA", at positions 1 to 897 of the family's 1533-position model. The record is from RNAcentral. Lineage: Bacteria; Bacillati; Bacillota; Bacilli; Lactobacillales; Enterococcaceae.